This 450-nucleotide ribosomal RNA is filed under the name uncultured bacterium. Its description in RNAcentral is "partial 16S ribosomal RNA". It matches the Rfam family "Bacterial small subunit ribosomal RNA", at positions 354 to 796 of the family's 1533-position model. The record is from RNAcentral.
GUGGGGAAUAUUGGACAAUGGGCGAAAGCCUGAUCCAGCCAUGCCGCGUGUGUGAAGAAGGUCUUCGGAUUGUAAAGCACAUUAAGUUGGGAGGAAGGGCAGUAAGUUAAUACCUUGCUGUUUUGACGUUACCGACAGAAUAAGCACCGGCUAACUUCGUGCCAGCAGCCGCGGUAAUACGAAGGGUGCAAGCGUUAAUCGGAAUUACUGGGCGUAAAGCGCGCGUAGGUGGUUUUGUAAGUUGGAGGUGAAAUCCCCGGGCUCAACCUGGGAACUGCCUCCAAAACUGCAUGACUAGAGUACGGUAGAGGGUAGUGGAAUUUCCUGUGUAGCGGUGAAAUGCGUAGAUAUAGGAAGGAACACCAGUGGCGAAGGCGACUACCUGGACUGAUACUGACACUGAGGUGCGAAAGCGUGGGGAGCAAACAGGAUUAGAAACCCCGGUAGUCC